GACACUUUCAAGAAGGCGUCAAUGAGAACAGAGUGAGGAAUUAAUGAAGAUCACUGUCAAAGGAUUGUCAGGUUCACAUUAUUCACUGGCAGAGUCUUUUCAACAGAGAAGAAAAACCUUAAUUUAUAAGCAGAGGGAGAGUGGAAGAUUGGUGAUGCUGAAAAAGG
This is a long non-coding RNA of Solea solea (common sole), 167 nucleotides long. RefSeq lists it as uncharacterized. The transcript has 3 exons. The record is from RefSeq and is a predicted model, not a curated record. NCBI's taxonomy places the organism in Eukaryota, Metazoa, Chordata, Actinopteri, Pleuronectiformes, Soleidae.